RNAcentral lists this long non-coding RNA (3544 nucleotides) under Xyrichtys novacula (pearly razorfish). The record is from RNAcentral. Lineage: Eukaryota; Metazoa; Chordata; Actinopteri; Labriformes; Labridae.
GUCAGUCUCUCAGUCUGGAGGUUUUUUACAAGUGCAGGGCUGAGAGGCAGCAGGCAGGUGUGGGGGAAGCAGUUGGCAUGUUUUCAUCUUGCAAACCUGCAGAUGCCCUAUACCAGAAGCAGUCAAAUGCCAUACAUAACUCCAUAUCUGUAUCAGCAGAUCCACCCCUUUUUCUUUUUCAGUUUGUAGCACUGCGCAGAAUGUCCCUGUGUCUAACAAGCAGAGGAAGCUCUUUGUUCUCAGUGGGAGAUGGAGCAAUUUGUGUCUCUCGAAAUGCUCAUCAAAAGGAAAAAUGGAAAUUUUGUGCCCAGUAUUUCAGUUUCCAGUUCAUACAUUUUACCUUUUUAGAGAAAUAAGUGGAAAUGACUGGCUGCAAUGCAAUUAAAAUCUUCUUUGUUAGGAUCUAUGAUUGCAACGCUUUCAAACAUUUGGCUCCCUGGCAGUCAGGCGUGAGCAGUCAGGGGGGUAACUCCUCCAGUCAGAACCACACAGGGACACUCUUAUCUUCACACUAGAGGUGGGAUUUAUGGCUUUCUGAAGGGAGCUGGAUCUUGAGGACUGUUCCUUUGAAAAAGACAUUCAAAAGACGGACUUGUUGUUAUAUUUGUUUAUUUUUUAGAGGUCAACCAGGGGUAAGUCUUAUAGAGACUUGUAUCAUUGUCACUUGUAGCAGUUAUGAGAUACGGUAUGGAUCAGAAUUUCAAAUUUACAAUACCCACCAAUACAUACUCUAUUAUUGGGAAUUAUUCAAAAAUAUUGAUUAUAAUUUCAUUUGGCUUGUGUUUUUAAAGUAAAUGUUCCAUAAGUUAGUGCCAUACUCCUACGCUUUGACAGUGAGAUCACUAUUUUGAAUUUUUCCCUCACCUGAAAACUUUGUGGCACAAUAACAACUAUGCAGGCUACAGUGAGACAUGUUUGUUUUUUGUGGCAGGAAUGGUUUUUCUGGAAGAGGAAGGACCCAGGGCAGAUAAUGAUGUGGGCCAAGUGGUGUCUGAGGGAGGGUCAGGUGAUGCUGGUGCCAAAGAGAGAAUGAAAGUAGCCUGAUGUUGAGGCAGAACCUGCGGAAUCAGUGAUGUCAUCUGCAUUAGCGCCGGAGUCAGUCCCUUUUUUUCUGACAUCUGACACUAUUACUGCCGGGUGCUGAGUUUUUAUUUUGCCAUGUAAGUUGUUUGUUGACCCGGACUUGAAAGAGAUGUUUUUUCUGGCAAAUAUUGCAUUGUGCUCUACCUUGCGUGUUGUCCCUAAAAAAGGGCACUUAAAUGAUGCUGGGUUUUUGUGUUCUCUUUUUCAGUCGCUCCUAGCUGCUCCUCCUCUCCACUGCAGUAAAUGUGGCUCUAGUCUCCAGUCAAUCGGAAUCAGGCGGCAAGGCCAAUCUGCACAUAAGAACGGCUCACAAAUGAACAGCUUGAGUUCUGGUGUUUAUCAUUCACUUAAAAGAGCUGUUCAAUUGACUGACUCCUCAGAUCUUUACUUCACACCUGACCCACAGACAAAACUGUCUUUAUGAUGACUCCAAACUUCAGCCACAAGUUUGAAAUAGCCUGUUUGUCUCCUCAAGUUAUGAAUAAGUGCUCUCUACCUUUACUUUUUCUGUUCACUGCUGGCCAUACAGCAACAAUAUUCAUUACAUUUUAUUUCCUCUCUCACUUUAUAUAAUUUAUUCUGCUUUUAAGUGCAUUUUGUUUAUUAUUGUAUAUUCUAUUGUUUCUCCUGGCCCCUCCAGAGCAUAAUGAAAUGUGUCUGUUUUUGUAACCUGCCUCGACUGAGAUUUAAAACCACAACAACAUUCACUUCUUUCUACUUUGUUCCCUUUUUUCUUGUUGAAUUAUCAGGACGAAACAAAUCAAUUUAGAGUUUCUAGAAAAGUAUUGUGAAAUGUUCCCAAAAGGAUCAUUUACCCUAAAAGACAACCAGACUCAAGUCAUAUGGGGAUAUCAGCUCCGUCUGGGCCAGUGCACAUCAAAGAUUUUCCAGCUCAUAAAAAUUAGAUGAACCCUAUAUCCUGAGGGUCUUUGUGUGAAUGUACACUGCAGUACCAAGACUCCUCUGUCCUCCUCUGUUUGUCUUUACAGUUGUUUGACUGCUGCACAAUGUACAACUUUCGUUUGCACACAAAUCCCAUUUAUUAGAGACAUUUAUUAGUGAGAAGCUUGGGACUGAGUGUACUGAGCUGAAUUCAUGUAGAAUGAAAAGGAGUUCUUACACAGCCAGGAGACAGAAGCAGACCAGACUCAGAACAUACUUUCCUGUCAGCACAACACAUGACCAACAAGAUCAUCCACUGACAUUAAGGUCUCCUGGGUGAGAACAUUAAGUUUCUCUGUGCACAAAGACAUGUGGAUCAGACCACAGCAGUUUGAAGACACUGUUCACCAGCAGUCGGGUGCGUUGAUGGAAACACAUCCAACUUGUUAAGUUAUUUGAAGGGUCACCACACGGAGGUAAACAUGACUGCCAUGAGGAACAAAAAACCCUUUUGACAGCCUCUGACUAUCAAAGGUUUAUUUAGGAUUUUCUUCAUCAUUCGUGAAGACACUAAUGACCCCAUGUUUUGUAGCUGUUUAUGACAUAAGUAUGUUUCCUAAUUUUCACUUUUUUACAGUACCAUCAGGACUUUCAUGUGCUGUUAUGAUUAUUCAUGGAUUGUGUGGUAGGAGUGACUCCAAGUGCUCUUUUAAAGUUUUUUUUUUAUGUCUUUUAUUUUUCAGUUUAUGAGUCAGAUCAUCUUUGAUUUCACUGUGAAGUCAAGGACAAAUUCAGCAGAGAUCAUCUCAGCCUGUAAUGUAAUCCAAUAGUAAUUUGUGAGCAUUUCACUCCUUUUUCAGUGUUUUUUGAGAAAAUGACCCUGUGGUAGGGCUGUUCGUUGAAGCUGUUCAUGGUGAUGAAGCUGUUCAUUGUGACUGGUUGGUAUGAACUAACUGUCACCUUGUCACUUUUGUCAGUUCUGGGUGUAAAAGUAUGACCAAUAACAAAACAUUAAAUAUAAGUCAAAAUUAACUCUUAAAAUAACAGCAAGUUGGAAAAAGGUUGAAAAUAUGCUUUAGUUCACAGAUUUUAUAAAAAGCAGCGUGGACUGUUCUCCUAAAAAGACUGAAGAUCUAUUAUCAGACUAUUGGCACAACAGUAAUGAGGCUAACUCUGAUACCAUGACGCUGUCAUGCUAACUGUCCAUGAAAAAGUGUAAGAUUGACCAGGUUUCUUAUCUCAACUGUGCCAAAAUGAAGUAAAACUAUACUACUAGGAGGUUAUUAGACUUUGAGGAAACAGGUCAUUCAUCAGAUAAUUGACCAGAUCACAAUUCUUACUUCGUUGUUGAAAUUAUUAAAAAAAUGUCAAACUCAGGGAGUGUCAGGCAGUCACUAAAAAAACCAAGAGUCAUCCUCUAGAGAGAAAAUGAUCCCUGCAAGCAUUACAACCUUCAGUUGUUAUUCAUUAAAUCAAUUUUCUGAUUGGGACAAAUGUAUGACAGCAUUUUUGGUGCUAAAGGUUUGUGUAUCUGUAACGUGAUUUGUAGUUGUGUACAGUAAAUGUGUAUGUGUAUUAG